UGCCCUCAAGCACGGCUUGUGUGUUGGGCCCCGUCCUCCGAUCCCGGGGGGACGGCCCGAAAGGCAGCGGCGGCACCGAGUCCGGUCCUCGAGCGUAUGGGGCUUUGUCACCCGCUCUGUAGGCCCGGCCGGCGCUUGCCGAUCAACCAAAUUUUUUCCAGGUUGACCUCGGAUCAGGUAGGGAUACCCGCUGAACUUAA
This 200-nucleotide unclassified non-coding RNA is filed under the name soil metagenome. RNAcentral's name for it is "partial contains internal transcribed spacer 2 and large subunit ribosomal RNA". The record is from RNAcentral.